This is a long non-coding RNA of Passer domesticus (house sparrow), 1993 nucleotides long. RefSeq lists it as uncharacterized. NCBI's taxonomy places the organism in Eukaryota, Metazoa, Chordata, Aves, Passeriformes, Passeridae. The transcript is spliced from 2 exons. The record is from RefSeq and is a predicted model, not a curated record.
UUCCAGCAGCUUCCAGAUGAGAUGCUGCUCCCUGUGCUCAGGAGAGUGCCAAAAGCUCUGGAUCCAGACCCUGCAGGUGAUGCCAUUUGCUGCUACCUUCCCAACCAGUCUUUGCAACAUCAGGAGCACCAGAGGCUCUUUAAUGUACCCUGCUUUUGAAUGAUGAUUGACAAAUAGGAUAAACCUGGGAAACACUUCACAAAAACUCUUCUGUAAGAAGUCAUUUUGGAAGUCCUAGCAGAUCAUCAAGCAGCAUUUGGUCAGGACUGCUGCAAGCAGAUAAAGAAGCAUUGGAGAAAGAUGCCGAAGGUAUAUAUGGGAAUUGGAUCCCCAACCCUUAUUAAAAGUCAGGAAAAGGAAAACUGGUGCCUAAGAGUGGUUCAUGUCUUUAAAACUCUCUCCUUUUGACUUCAGGAGAAGGCAAAAGUGAGUGUGUCCUCCUGCACUGAAAUGUCUUGGUGAAGACAGAGGACUUUCAACACUCCUUUGUGACUUAGGAGCACUGAACAUAGAGAUUUAGAAACCAAAUCCCUUUUUAACAGUCAUCUGCACACCUCCAGCUCCAGCUUGGAAAGCUGCUCAGAAGGUGCCUCUGCACGUGCAAACCUCUCAUCCUGCACAGCUUUUGAAAUUGGGAAUUUCAUGCACUGGGAAGCAGAGAUCCUCUGGGUGUUGGAUGUAAUCUCCUGGAUGCUGUCCUCUGCUCCAAUGAAUGGCAAAAAAUAAAAAUAAGCUCCUUUGCAGAGAAAGAUAUCUGAAAAGCAGGCCUAAACCCCAGACUGUGAGCAAAGCCAGUGAGAAUUUGAGUUGUCCACGUGGGGAGAGAGGUGCAGGAACAUGGGAGCAGGAAACAUGAGCAGCAGAAGCCCCUGGCACCACACAAAAGAGGAGAGACCUGAGUCUCUGUGGCCAGAGACACUUUCAGUUCCCAGGGGUCACUUGAAAUGAAGCCUUUUAUAAUAUGAAGUUAAUUUAAUUAAUCUGGAAACAAUCCGAAGAAAAAUCACUGCCAGCUAUGUUGCUUUUAAAUAAGGAUUUCAAUGGGCCAAGAUUUAGCAUCUUCAUAGACCCAUCUGCCUAAAGGCCUGUAUCUUAUCUGAUCAUUUCCAUGGCAACAGCUCUGGGAUUAGAAAAGGAUGAAUGUUUAGGAAUAGUUGCUGGAAUUUCAUGGAAGAUGAUGAAUUGAGGAUUACUUCACUACCUACGUGUUACCAUGGAAAUGCACAUUUACAAAUUGCACUGGAUUUAAAACCCCACCAUUAUUAGUACAAAUUUGUGCUGCUCUCUGAAGGAGCUCCAGGGGCAGAAGGUGCCUCUCACCUCUCCAGCCCCACAGAGCACAGAAAUUACUGUGGUGGCUGAGAAAGGAAAGGGAAACAAGUGGCAGGUCUUGGGCCCAAUUUCUCUUAUCAGACAACCUCCUAAAUGAAACCCAGGUAGUCAAAAGGGUUAAAAUAUUUUAAAAAGGGUAUUUCACAUACGGAAAAACCACCAGUCAAAACCACCCCUCCCCUUUCAACUUACAUAUAAUGGAUUUGAUAAAUGGAUGAACAGAUUUUUGAAUUGCCACACGUGACUUCUUGACUUAGGAGACUUUCAGUCUUGCAAACCUAAUUCUAAGACUGUUUUUUAUUGCUUUUGUGAAGUUCUUAUUUAAGUGUGAAACAAAUCUACAUGGUCUCUUUUGUAAAUGAUUCAUAAAAUAUUCCAUAUUUUAGUAACCUGCUCUGCUCCACCACUGGGACUGAAGUAGGACUUGAGACUAACUCUUACUAAAGUCUUGGAAAACACAGUUCCCAUCUUUGAAGCCCAGAGCAAAAACAGAGAAAUAUUCCCCAUCCAUACAUAAACCAUGAAAAUCCAGAGGGUCAGAUAAAUAACUGCUGGAAAUUCUUUUAUCACAGACACACCUGGUUUUUGUAGGGCCUGAGGAAGCAUCUUACCAUACAACAAUAAAUAUCAAAAUAAAGAAUGGCAUAAUAACUCCAAGAAA